Molecule: long non-coding RNA, 319 nt
Filed under: Monodelphis domestica (gray short-tailed opossum)
Lineage: Eukaryota; Metazoa; Chordata; Mammalia; Didelphimorphia; Didelphidae
Description: lncRNA (ENSMODG00000044554.1)
Source: RNAcentral
CGUGGCUCUGUUGCUAUGGUAGUAAGAACAUGCUUUCGUUCUUCCAUAGGUGUUUGCAUGGGGACAUAUGUGGCUGUUUCCAUGGCAACAAGGUGCCUUAUCUCUUAGUGGAGCAGGAGUACAUAAGAAAAAAAGGCUUGAAUGAGUCCGAAGAGGGGGAAAUUGAAAGUGAAACUGGGCACUUCCAAAGCUAUGAUGCUGUGAGGCAAAGAAAAAUGCCUAGAAGAGCAUCUUGAACAUUGCAAGCACUUUAUAAAUGUUUGUUAAACUUGAACUGGAGUGAAGAAGGCAGAUAUUUGUGUUCAAAAGGUAUAUCAAG